GGGGGGAGCAAGCGUUGUUCGGAUUUACUGGGCGUAAAGGGCGCGUAGGCGGCCACCGCAAGUCGACUGUGAAAUCUCCGGGCUUAACCCGGAACGGUCAGCCGAUACUGCGGGGCUAGAGUGCAGAAGGGGCAACUGGAAUUCUCGGUGUAGCGGUGAAAUGCGUAGAUAUCGAGAGGAACACCUGCGGCGAAGGCGGGUUGCUGGGCUGACACUGACGCUGAUGUGCGAAAGCUAGGGGAGCGAACGGGAUUAGAUACCCCGGUAGUCCUAGCCUUAAACGAUGAAUGCUUGGUGUCUGGGGUUUUAUAGUCCCCGGGUGCCGUCGCUAACGCUUUAAGCAUUCCGCCUGGGGAGUACGGUCGCAAGACUG
RNAcentral lists this ribosomal RNA (373 nucleotides) under uncultured bacterium. RNAcentral's name for it is "bacterial SSU rRNA". It matches the Rfam family "Bacterial small subunit ribosomal RNA", at positions 527 to 896 of the family's 1533-position model. The record is from RNAcentral.